This 304-nucleotide ribosomal RNA is filed under the name uncultured Acidobacteriota bacterium. RNAcentral's name for it is "bacterial SSU rRNA". It matches the Rfam family "Bacterial small subunit ribosomal RNA", at positions 20 to 338 of the family's 1533-position model. The record is from RNAcentral. Lineage: Bacteria; Pseudomonadati; Acidobacteriota.
UGGCUCAGAACGAACGCUGGCGGCGUGCCUAACACAUGCAAGUCGAACGAGAAAGUGGAGCAAUCCAUGAGUACAGUGGCGACCGGGUGAGUAACACGUGACUAACCUACCCUCGAGUGGGGAAUAACUCCGGGAAACCGGAGCUAAUACCGCAUAACAUCGCAAGAUCAAAGCAGCAAUGCGCUUGAGGAGGGGGUCGCGGCUGAUUAGCUAGUUGGUAGGGUAACGGCCUAGGAAGAAUGAGAUCGGUAUCCGGCCUGAGAGGGCGCACGGACACUCUCCAACUGAAACACGAUCCAGACUC